RNAcentral lists this ribosomal RNA (254 nucleotides) under uncultured bacterium. RNAcentral's name for it is "partial 16S ribosomal RNA". It matches the Rfam family "Bacterial small subunit ribosomal RNA", at positions 524 to 776 of the family's 1533-position model. The record is from RNAcentral.
UACGUAGGUGGCGAGCGUUGUCCGGAUUUAUUGGGCGUAAAAGGCUUGUAGGUGGCCACGUCAGUCCGGCUGGGAAAUCUCCCGGCUCAACUGGGAGGGGUCAGUCGAUACUGGCGGGCUCGAGGCCGGUAGGGGGAAGCGGAAUUCCCGGGGUAGUGGUGGAAUGCGUAGAUAUCGGGAGGAACACCAGUGGCGAAGGCGGCUUCCUGGACCGGUACUGACGCUGAGACGCGAAAGCGUGGGGAGCGAACAGG